This 947-nucleotide long non-coding RNA is filed under the name Homo sapiens (human). Its description in RNAcentral is "long non-coding RNA NONHSAT151377.1". The record is from RNAcentral. Lineage: Eukaryota; Metazoa; Chordata; Mammalia; Primates; Hominidae.
CUCCUGGACACCGAGACUGGCCUCAGAAAUAGUUGGCUUUUUUUUUUUUUAAUUGCAAGCAUAUUUCUUUUAAUGACUCCAGUAAAAUUAAGCAUCAAGUAAACAAGUGGAAAGUGACCUACACUUUUAACUUGUCUCACUAGUGCCUAAAUGUAGUAAAGGCUGCUUAAGUUUUGUAUGUAGUUGGAUUUUUUGGAGUCCGAAGGUAUCCAUCUGCAGAAAUUGAGGCCCAAAUUGAAUUUGGAUUCAAGUGGAUUCUAAAUACUUUGCUUAUCUUGAAGAGAGAAGCUUCAUAAGGAAUAAACAAGUUGAAUAGAGAAAACACUGAUUGAUAAUAGGCAUUUUAGUGGUCUUUUUAAUGUUUUCUGCUGUGAAACAUUUCAAGAUUUAUUGAUUUUUUUUUUUCACUUUCCCCAUCACACUCACACGCACGCUCACACUUUUUAUUUGCCAUAAUGAACCGUCCAGCCCCUGUGGAGAUCUCCUAUGAGAACAUGCGUUUUCUGAUAACUCACAACCCUACCAAUGCUACUCUCAACAAGUUCACAGAGGAACUUAAGAAGUAUGGAGUGACGACUUUGGUUCGAGUUUGUGAUGCUACAUAUGAUAAAGCUCCAGUUGAAAAAGAAGGAAUCCACGUUCUAAAAAAGAAGGGGAGCGUUCAAUUCCAAACAGCUGCUUUAUUUGGAGAAAUACCGACCUAAGAUGCGAUUACGCUUCAGAGAUACCAAUGGGCAUUGCUGUGUUCAGUAGAAGGAAAUGUAAACGAAGGCUGACUUGAUUGUGCCAUUUAGAGGGAACUCUUGGUACCUGGAAAUGUGAAUCUGGAAUAUUACCUGUGUCAUCAAAGUAGUGAUGGAUUCAGUACUCCUCAACCACUCUCCUAAUGAUUGGAACAAAAGCAAACAAAAAAGAAAUCUCUCUAUAAAAUGAAUAAAAUGUUUAAG